UACAGGGGGUGCAAACGUUGCUCGGAAUCAUUGGGCGUAAAGCGCACGUAGGCGGUUACUUAAGUCGGAUGUGAAAGCCCUUGGCUCAACCGAGGAAGUGCAUCCGAAACUGAGUAGCUUGAGUACUAAAGAGGGUCGCGGAAUUCCCGGUGUAGAGGUGAAAUUCGUAGAUAUCGGGAGGAACACCGGUGGCGAAGGCGGCGAUCUGGGUCGAUACUGACGCUGAGGUGCGAAAGCGUGGGGAGCAAACAGG
This 253-nucleotide ribosomal RNA is filed under the name uncultured bacterium. Its description in RNAcentral is "partial 16S ribosomal RNA". It matches the Rfam family "Bacterial small subunit ribosomal RNA", at positions 524 to 776 of the family's 1533-position model. The record is from RNAcentral.